GGGCUUGUGGUGUAGUGGUAACAUGUUCGCUUCGCAUGCGAAAGAUCUCGGGUUCGAUUCCCGACGAGUCCA
This 72-nucleotide transfer RNA is filed under the name Babesia ovis. It matches the Rfam family "tRNA". Rfam says of the family: Transfer RNA (tRNA) molecules are approximately 80 nucleotides in length. The record is from Rfam by way of RNAcentral. Lineage: Eukaryota; Apicomplexa; Aconoidasida; Piroplasmida; Babesiidae.